Molecule: transfer RNA, 72 nt
Filed under: Hofstenia miamia
Lineage: Eukaryota; Metazoa; Xenacoelomorpha; Acoela; Hofsteniidae
Description: tRNA-Gln for anticodon UUG
Rfam family: tRNA
About the family: Transfer RNA (tRNA) molecules are approximately 80 nucleotides in length. Their secondary structure includes four short double-helical elements and three loops (D, anti-codon, and T loops).
Source: RNAcentral
GGUCCCAUGGUGUAGCGGUUAGCACCUUGGACUUUGAAUCCAAAGAGCCGAGUUCGAGUCUCGGUGGGACGU